Non-coding RNA from Saimiri boliviensis boliviensis (Bolivian squirrel monkey), 2942 nucleotides. The record is from RefSeq and is a predicted model, not a curated record. Lineage: Eukaryota; Metazoa; Chordata; Mammalia; Primates; Cebidae.
CGCCUGAAAGGGGACAAUGGAGGCUGGAGAUAUCGACACCGCAGAAACCGAGUUCAUUUGUGAUGCAGGCCCUUUCACUGCGGUUGUCAUGCAAACUUCCUGCUUUGAUCAGCGGAGGGUGGAGAGGGAGAAAGCCCGCAAAGGCCGCGGGCUCGGCGCGGUCCGGCGCCCUUGGCGGCUCCACGCCCCCUUCCGGAAGGCGCCGCGGGGACGCCGCAUCCUGCACCUUGACCCGUCUAGACGGCCCCGGAGGUUUUGUCUCCGUUACCAAGGGCGAGGGGUGCUCUUUGACCCGCGCCCGGGGCGGCGGUGGUGGCCGCGGGGUCCCGCUGAAUCCUCGCCGGAUUCCGGAGGGAGAGGGGCGCGCGGGGACGUGCACCAGCUGUUCCCAAAGAAAGCAGCGGAGGAGCCCGCCCGCCGGCCCCGGAGAAGGGGAGCCCAUCCCCCUAGCCCAGUCGGAGGCGUUCCUAACGGACCUUUUGGAGAAAGUCUGUGAGCGAAUGAACGACUACAAGCUCGAGGAAGACCCUGUGACGAAGGAGAGAACUUUCAGGAGAUUUGCUCCUAGGAAAGGAGACAAAAUAUACCAAGAAUUUAAAAAAUUCCAUUUUUAUUCUGAUGCUUACAGACCUUUGAAAUUUGCGUGUGAAACUAUAAUAGAAGAGUAUGAAGAUGAAAUAUUCUCACUUAUCGCCCACGAGGCACACUAUCUAGCUGACAAGCUGUGCAGUGAAAAGUCAGGUACUGUGUCUGAUGUAACAUGUGCUCGCUGCUGGAACACCCUCUCUCUCUCACUCAGCCUUGCAGCGUCUUGUUUGCAGACCGGGCCUCUCUGCCUCGCUGCGACCCACGGCUCUGACACAGGCUCCCCCGUCUCCGCUGAAUCAGAAACGACAGCAUGUGAGAGAAAACAGAUAAACAGAAACCACAGGGCUGUGAGGUCUUCUGUUCUUUCCUCUACCCGUUCAGGGAAUUCAAACAUUCUUGAUUUCUAGUUGUUAAGGAGAAAAUUCUUAUUCAGAAAUGGAAGACUCCAAAGCACUUUCUUUUUAAAAACUUUGAGAGAUACGAUUUUUCCAUCCUGGACCAGGGAAAGAGACUCUCACUUCAUAGCUAGAGUAUCUGCUACACCAGCAGAAGAUCUGUGUGAAACUUCUACUAAUCACUCUGAGCUCUAGGAACGCCGUGCUGCUAGUUGCAGAGAGGAGUAGUCACACCCCAAAGGUAAAGCUGAGGAGUACAUAAAGUUAAAUUAGCCUUUGCAGAUUUUGAUAAAUCAAGCUUGACAAUAAAGCAUUUAAUUCUGUAUUGGGGAAAAUAGUGAAGACAUUUCAUAAACAAAACAGGGAUUUCAUAAAGUAUGCUGUUUAUUUCCUAACAGUGCAUGUGCACAUGUGCAGCUGCAGUACUCUCUCUGAUAAGAACCAGAUUUGAAUUCUCAAAUACUUGAUUGGCUGUAAGUUUAAGGAAAUACAUGGCAACAAAUUCAAAAUGUGUUCUUGUGGGUGAGAUACGGCUACUGGUGACAGAAACAAAUCUACUGUUUAUCAGCCAUGAAAUUUAAAUUUCUAGAAACCACAAGUUUAAAAACUUCUCAUUUCUAAAGUUUAGUGAAAUGUGUAAAAACUAAUGAAUGCUUUAAUUUAUAGUGAACACUAAUUAUGUUGGCCUCUCUUAAACACCAUUCUAAGUUUAAAUGAUUUAGAAAGUUGAUUUAUUAUUGCAUCAUGUGUUAAAAGAUACUGUGUUUUGUUUGUUCCAAACUCUCCUGGUUGGUUUGUUUUUCUUAUAAAGUUUUUUUUUUGGCUUACAGUUAGUGUGUUGAGUUUACUACUAAAUAAUCUACCAUUCCUCUAUAGGAAUGGAAAGGGAGGAGGGACCUGGUGGGACAUUAUCUUUUGGCCACACUUAAUAUACAAAGUAUAGUAACAAUCACUCCUGGAAGUUUCAUGAUCUCUUUUAAAUUUGCAUUCAAUGGAAUCUGACUUUAAUGAUUAAAAAUGUCAGUGUAUAGGCUACACCAGUUUCUAAAAAGAGAUUCUCAUUGUCUUUGGUGUGAAUCAAGCGGGUAGGAUGCUACGAAGUCUUCCCGGAAGACCUAAAACUGUUCACCAUAUUGUUACUUAAUUGCCUAAAAAGCACAUUAUGUAUUUAAACCAUUCUGCUGACUCCAGCAGGAAACAAUUCUUAAAUUUAGGAAAAUUUACCAAAACUAAAGGGAAGGGCUUUCAUGCCUCCUCCCCACGUCGACUCUUAUUAAAAGUAAGUUAAUAUCACUUAAUUAUUUGGGUGCUUUUUUUUUAAUAUAUGUGGCUGCUUAGGUAUGAUGACUCCUAGAUAAAGAAAGCCACACUCUAGCUGGCACACGAUGGAAACUGAACUGAAUAAUAAUUGCUAUUUUCCAAUAGGGUAGGGCAAUUGUUAUUUAAAACAUAGUCCCCGUAGCUUUAUUGAAAUGUAUCUAGUUAAGAUUAAUUUGGCAUUUAAAGUAGUAAAUCAUGAACAUUCUCCUAACGUGGGUUUUCUUGGGAAAUGCACUAGACAGGAAAAUUAUUCCUUAAAACCUAAGUGACCUUCAGGAGCAUGGUGGGAUUUAUGGCAAUAAGUCAGCUUCUGUGAAAAAUGUUAGCAGUUGUGAUUGUAGAAGAGUUGCCAAAUUUGUUUUCAUAUGCUUUUUGAUCAUUAUUGAAAAUUCUCGAAUGUAGACAAUACUAACACUUAUUAUAGAAAUUAAUUUUGUGGGCUCCUGUUUGUAAGCUAAACAGACUUGGGAAGGUACACCUUCUCUCACUGAGGGGUGCCUUUCAUUGACGGUGAUGGUUUACUUUGACUGGAGAGGACCAGGCACCUUGGCUCACAGCGAAUAUCUGAGGUUUUGCUAAAUUGGGCUUUUCAGUUUUUUUCUUGGAUUUCCCUUUAAAAGUAGUCGUGUAUCUUGCCAA